RNAcentral lists this ribosomal RNA (279 nucleotides) under uncultured bacterium. RNAcentral describes it as "partial 16S ribosomal RNA". It matches the Rfam family "Bacterial small subunit ribosomal RNA", at positions 506 to 784 of the family's 1533-position model. The record is from RNAcentral.
UGCCAGCAGCCGCGGUAAUACGUAGGGUGCGAGCGUUGUUCGGAAUUACUGGGCGUAAAGGGCGUGUAGGCGGAUCAAUUAGCCAGGGGUGAAAGCCCAGAGCUCAACUCUGGAAUAGCUCUUGGAACUGUUGAUCUUGAGAGGGUCAGAGGCUAGCAGAAUUCCUGGUGUAGAGGUGAAAUUCGUAGAUAUCAGGAGGAAUACCAGUGGCGAAAGCGGCUGGCUAGGGCCACUCUGACGCUGAUGCGCGAAAGCGUGGGGAGCAAACAGGAUUAGAUA